UAAGGCGACAAUAGCAAAAGGGAUACACCUGUAACCAUACCGAACACAGAAGUUAAGCCUUUUAGCGUCGAUGGUACUUAGCUGGUGACGGCUUGGGAGAGUAGAACAUCGCCUAAC
This 117-nucleotide ribosomal RNA is filed under the name Tissierellia bacterium. Lineage: Bacteria; Bacillati; Bacillota; Tissierellia. The record is from RNAcentral.